AGCUUCCUUUGCUAAUCUUUUCUGCAAGGUAUUAUACAUAUUGUGGAGAAAUUAGGCUUGGAGAACUGAUAAAGAUAAGAUCAACAAACAAACAUGGGUAUCAUAGUUCCAGAAGUCCCCGAGACACACACAAAAUCUCACUUGCGUGUUAAGCAAUUGAAAAUAAAGUUGAAGAAACUUUACUAAUCAAAUUGUGCGAUACACAACUAUACAAGUUUAAGUUAUCAACAACAGAGCUCCACAACUGGCUGGAAGUAUGAUUCAAUUUCAAAUCACAGAAAUGCAAAUGCAUCAACAAAAGCAACAAAACAAGGAAUUCAAGCUAGAAGCUAAACACCUCACGAGCCUUAGCUGUCUCAUA
This 361-nucleotide unclassified non-coding RNA is filed under the name Hevea brasiliensis (rubber tree). Lineage: Eukaryota; Viridiplantae; Streptophyta; Magnoliopsida; Malpighiales; Euphorbiaceae. The record is from RNAcentral.